RNAcentral lists this unclassified non-coding RNA (358 nucleotides) under fungal sp. RNAcentral describes it as "partial internal transcribed spacer region". The stretch from base 1 to 46 matches the Rfam family "Eukaryotic small subunit ribosomal RNA", at positions 1786 to 1831 of the family's 1831-position model. The record is from RNAcentral. Lineage: Eukaryota; Fungi.
AAGUCGUAACAAGGUUUCCGUAGGUGAACCUGCGGAAGGAUCAUUAACACGUAUCCAACGUUAAACCCACCGUGAACCUUCAUUGUGCUCCCCCAUUCCGUUAGGACGCGGCAAUCCCUGGUAAAUCAUCGCCGAACAGUUUUGAUUCAGGGACCUCUGCAUGGAGUGGGCAGCAGCGCGAGGCAAGUGGCCUGGCAUUCGAAAGAAUGGCGCAGUAACGAUCGCUAGAGGCCGACACGGCCGGCGACCGGGUCACUGGGCUCACGCCCCCCUAUCACCUUUGCAUGAAAACGGGCCUGCGCUUAAUUGUGCGGCCACCAAACUCGAACAACUGUUAACAAUGGAUAUCUUGGUUCUC